AUCUGAGUGCAAGGGCUUUACGCGUAUCAGUGAGGAUUCGUCCGAGAUCGUGUUUUUGCUAGUUGAAAACUAUAACUAAGACCACUCCUAGUUGGCUUCGGCUGGCUAGGGAAUUUUUGUAAUCCUUCUUCUUCCUCGAUGG
Molecule: small nuclear RNA, 142 nt
Organism: Verticillium albo-atrum
Lineage: Eukaryota; Fungi; Ascomycota; Sordariomycetes; Glomerellales; Plectosphaerellaceae
Rfam family: U4 spliceosomal RNA
About the family: U4 small nuclear RNA (U4 snRNA) is a component of the major U2-dependent spliceosome. The structure of U4 snRNA from yeast and human has been reported. U4 snRNA presents a k-turn RNA motif in the 5p-SL related to recognition of Snu13 protein.
Source: Rfam